ACGGGAGGCAGCAGUGGGGAAUAUUGGGCAAUGGGGGAAACCCUGACCCAGCAACGCCGCGUGAAGGAAGAAGGCCUUCGGGUUGUAAACUUCUUUUACCAGGGACGAAGAACGUGACGGUACCUGGAGAAAAAGCCACGGCUAACUACGUGCCAGCAGCCGCGGUAAUACGUAGGUGGCAAGCGUUGUCCGGAUUUACUGGGUGUAAAGGGCGUGUAGGCGGAGCUGCAAGUCAGAUGUGAAAUCCCGGGGCUCAACCCCGGAACUGUAUUUGAAACUGUAGCCCUUGAGUAUCGGGGAGGCAAGCGGAAUUCCUAGUGUAGCGGUGAAAUGCGUAGAUAUUAGGAGGAACACCAGUGGCGAAGGCGACUUUCUGGACAGUAACUGACGUUGAGGCACGAAAGUGUGGGGAGCAAACAGGAUUAGAUACCCUGGUA
This 437-nucleotide ribosomal RNA is filed under the name uncultured Oscillospiraceae bacterium. RNAcentral's name for it is "bacterial SSU rRNA". It matches the Rfam family "Bacterial small subunit ribosomal RNA", at positions 341 to 792 of the family's 1533-position model. The record is from RNAcentral. Lineage: Bacteria; Bacillati; Bacillota; Clostridia; Eubacteriales; Oscillospiraceae.